Megalopta genalis is the source of this 1214-nucleotide long non-coding RNA. RefSeq lists it as uncharacterized. The record is from RefSeq and is a predicted model, not a curated record. Lineage: Eukaryota; Metazoa; Arthropoda; Insecta; Hymenoptera; Halictidae.
ACGGUUAUCCAAACGGUUCAAUUUAACUGUGUAGAGUAGCUUGUAUUUUAGCGAGGAAAAUAAUCGUAUUUACGUUAGCAUUUGCAGUUGGCUUAAGAUGGGCUUUGUGACUCUGGCUAAUAAUCUGUAGUAAGUCAUGGAAAUCUUAGACACAGAACGCUUUACAGAAAGCGUUUUCAAAGAAUCGUUACAAUCGUCUAACUUUUUAUUGUUAGUUACAUCAAUUCAAAGGUUUCAACUCUUCGAGGUUAAUAAAGGUUUUGCAGCAUUUUUUAAACCUGACUUUGUGAAAGGUGAAAGUAAAAAUGUUAAAAUACUCACGAUCUUUAUUUGAAUUGGAAGUACUGUUCCAACAAAAAAUAUAAUGACGCAACCGUCAUUUUCAAAAUGGUGACGACUUCCGGCUCCAUUUUGAUCAUACUGCGUACUCACAAUUUCAAAGCUAUAUCAUCUAUUCGCUAAAAAAAACUUUAAGAAUAAAUUAUUAUGAACAAGUUGCAGCAUCAUAGACAAACAUGGAUUUUCGAAUAUUCUUCCACAUCAUGGAAAACUAAAUUAAAAAGAUUUGGAUGAAGCCGACACAGUUCCGAAAUGAAAGCAUUCGAACAAAGAAAAAUCUGCGAAACGCUUCCUGUGAUACGAUGAUCAUCAAUAUUAGUGGGCUCUGAAUCAUAUUUCCGUUUACACUGUGUUCGACAAUGAAUUACUAUACUGGCAAUUUUCCUCUUGGCAAAAUCAUCUUUCGGCCGUUGGUUUCCCGAAAAUGCGGAACAGCGUAGGAGGAUGCGAUCCGGACAAUUAAAAGCAAAGACUGCAGGAUGCUAUCGAGCAUUCCCUGUGCUAUUAUGCCCUCGACUGGCGUCGUCAACAGCUACGAUUAACCGUAACUGCUAGACGGAGGACGACUCGGUCGACCUCGUAACUUUCAGAAAUAACUGUCCCAUCAGUCGCGCUCGUCUGAUAUACUUUGAAUCGGAGUUCUGAGAACGAGGAUAAUCCUAAACGUCUCGUGUUAUUAAUAUGCCUUCAAUAACUUCGUGAACUGUGGUUGUUGGAUGCUAAUUUUACGGAAGAAAGAUAAAACUAGAAUAAUAUCGCUUGUGCUGAAUAAGUUCGCUUCAGGCGAGCUCUUUUCAUUCAUAAGAUGUUAAUUAAGAAAACCUGUUAUCUAUGAUAUGAAUGCUAUCAGAAUUUAGAGACUGUAUCGUAUCAGA